Daucus carota subsp. sativus is the source of this 1309-nucleotide long non-coding RNA. RefSeq lists it as uncharacterized. The transcript is spliced from 3 exons. The record is from RefSeq and is a predicted model, not a curated record. Lineage: Eukaryota; Viridiplantae; Streptophyta; Magnoliopsida; Apiales; Apiaceae.
UACACGGCUUAUCUUUCAGUUACAUCUUAAUUGAUUAAGGCUCUAGACUCUUGAGAUUUAGGGCUUGUUGAAUUUGGGGUUUUCAAUUCUGAGUUCAAAUCAGGGCUUAUUAACUCAAACUACUUCACCUAAUCGCUCUCUUUCUUUGUUUGCAGGUGCGAUUUGAGGUCCCGUUGUUUGUAGGUGCGAUUUGAGGUCCUGGGGUUGGAUAUGUGUUCAGGAAAAUCCCCCUCUCUCUCCAUUGCUUAUUUGGGUGCUUGUUUAAUGCUCUCUAUGCUUAUUUGAGUGCUUUGCGUGCUUAUUUGGGGUUCGAUUUGAGUGCUUAUCCUAUAUUUCAUAUUAGGACUUAUUUGAGUGCUUAUUCUCUGCUCUCCUAUAUUUGUUUUUUUUAGCAUAUGGUAUUUAGUUUUUGGUGAAUUUAUGCUCUCGGUUUUCAUUUUGGGUCUUUAUUUUGAUUUUUAUGUAUGUUUUUCAAUUUUAAUUGUUGGUGGAUUUUCUCAUGUUUGCAUUAUGGUUGAGGGCAUUGUUUUACAUAAAAGGAUGUGUAUGUGUUUGUAAAAAGUAAAAAGGAUAUGUAUGUGUUUGUAUUGAAGGCAUUGAUAGGGAUUGCUAUCAAAGUCCACUAACUUCUGCUAGUUCAUCAUGUGCCUUAUAAGGCUUCAAUGUGUAGAUAAUUGCAGAGCAUAAAUCUAGAAUCAUAUGCCUUAAUGAAUCAUUAUUGUGACUAAAACUCAUUAUUCUGUUGUUCUAAAAAAAAGAGCUAUAUCCAUAUACUUGGAGAUCCUUUUGAUCUUCAGCUUGGUGAGUAUUUUAUUUGUCUUGAUAGUUUAAUUGUUCAUAGACAUUAAAUGUAUAGGUAAUAGUUGUAUUUAUCAAUCACGGUGAGGAUGCUAUACAAUAGUCAAGACAUGCUACAGAAGAAAAGUUGGCAGAGCAAGCUGACUUGCAGCAAGCCGUUGAGCUGCAAAACCGGAGGUUGAUGAGUCUUAAGUUUUGGCCAAAUCACUGUAGUAGGAGUUCCGUGCUUUGUUCUUCAGAUUGCAGCAGUAUAUAAUUUCCUGAAGUUUGCACGUCAUGAAGAUGCCAGGGGUGCAGAAAGUUUAAAUGGACAACUAGAAAUUGCAGGUCGAGCAAUAAAGGUUUCCAUGUCAGGUUUUGAUGAUAGAUUGGUAAAUGGAGGAAGCAUAUUGGAAUUGAUUGGUAAAGAGAGGAGGAAUGGAAAGAGUCCCGAAGAAGUUGGCAAGAUUUAUGCUCAAGGCAUUUGAAGUUGCUAGUAUGCUCAAGGCAUUUGAAGUUGCCAGUUUCUCAU